AGGCCUAACACAUGCAAGUCGAACGGUAACAGGAAGAAGCUUGCUUCUUCGCUGACGAGUGGCGGACGGGUGAGUAAUGUCUGGGAAACUGCCUGAUGGAGGGGGAUAACUACUGGAAACGGUAGCUAAUACCGCAUAACGUCGCAAGACCAAAGAGGGGGACCUUCGGGCCUCUUGCCAUCGGAUGUGCCCAGAUGGGAUUAGCUAGUAGGUGGGGUAAAGGCUCACCUAGGCGACGAUCCCUAGCUGGUCUGAGAGGAUGACCAGCCACACUGGAACUGAGACACGGUCCAGACUCCUACGGGAGGCAGCAGUGGGGAAUAUUGCACAAUGGGCGCAAGCCUGAUGCAGCCAUGCCGCGUGUAUGAAGAAGGCCUUCGGGUUGUAAAGUACUUUCAGCGGGGAGGAAGGGAGUAAAGUUAAUACCUUUGCUCAUUGACGUUACCCGCAGAAGAAGCACCGGCUAACUCCGUGCCAGCAGCCGCGGUAAUACGGAGGGUGCAAGCGUUAAUCGGAAUUACUGGGCGUAAAGCGCACGCAGGCGGUUUGUUAAGUCAGAUGUGAAAUCCCCGGGCUCAACCUGGGAACUGCAUCUGAUACUGGCAAGCUUGAGUCUCGUAGAGGGGGGUAGAAUUCCAGGUGUAGCGGUGAAAUGCGUAGAGAUCUGGAGGAAUACCGGUGGCGAAGGCGGCCCCCUGGACGAAGACUGACGCUCAGGUGCGAAAGCGUGGGGAGCAAAACAGGAUUAGAUACCCUGGUAGUCCACGCCGUAAACGAUGUCGACUUGGAGGUUGUGCCCUUGAGGCGUGGCUUCCGGAGCUAACGCGUUAAGUCGACCGCCUGGGGAGUACGGCCGCAAGGUUAAAACUCAAAUGAAUUGACGGGGGCCCGCACAAGCGGUGGAGCAUGUGGUUUAAUUCGAUGCAACGCGAAGAACCUUACCUGGUCUUGACAUCCACAGAACUUUCCAGAGAUGGAUUGGUGCCUUCGGGAACUGUGAGACAGGUGCUGCAUGGCUGUCGUCAGCUCGUGUUGUGAAAUGUUGGGUUAAGUCCCGCAACGAGCGCAACCCUUAUCCUUUGUUGCCAGCGGUCCGGCCGGGAACUCAAAGGAGACUGCCAGUGAUAAACUGGAGGAAGGUGGGGAUGACGUCAAGUCAUCAUGGCCCUUACGACCAGGGCUACACACGUGCUACAAUGGCGCAUACAAAGAGAAGCGACCUCGCGAGAGCAAGCGGACCUCAUAAAGUGCGUCGUAGUCCGGAUUGGAGUCUGCAACUCGACUCCAUGAAGUCGGAAUCGCUAGUAAUCGUGGAUCAGAAUGCCACGGUGAAUACGUUCCCGGGCCUUGUACACACCGCCCGUCACACCAUGGGAGUGGGUUGCAAAAGAAGUAGGUAGCUUAACCUUCGGGAGGGCGCUUACCACUUUGUGAUUCAUGACUGGGGUGAAGA
Molecule: ribosomal RNA, 1453 nt
Filed under: uncultured organism
Description: SSU rRNA
Rfam family: Bacterial small subunit ribosomal RNA
Source: RNAcentral